CUCGUAGGUGGCCAACUAAGUCAAACGUGAAAUCCCUCGGCUUAACCGGGGAACUGCGUUUGAUACUGGAUGGCUUGAGUUUGGGAGAGGGAUGCGGAAUUCCAGGUGUAGCGGUGAAAUGCGUAGAUAUCUGGAGGAACACCGGUGGCGAAGGCGGCAUCCUGGACCAAUACUGACGCUGAGGAGCGAAAGCUAGGGGGAGCAAACGG
This 209-nucleotide ribosomal RNA is filed under the name uncultured bacterium. Its description in RNAcentral is "partial 16S ribosomal RNA". It matches the Rfam family "Bacterial small subunit ribosomal RNA", at positions 568 to 775 of the family's 1533-position model. The record is from RNAcentral.